AAGUCGUAACAAGGUUUCCGUAGGUGAACCUGCGGAAGGAUCAUUAACACGUUUUAUCACAAAACAAACCAAACUCUGUGAACUGAGGUGAGCCUCCCAUUUAUGGGGGUAAAAAUUGGUCAUGUUACUGGAUGCUUCUGCUUCGGCAGAGUGUUUUAGUUUCAUGUUCCAGUCUCGCUUGCCGAACUUUAUUUAACCGAUAUAACCUUGUCAAGGUACUCUUGUAGUAACUUGUCAGGUAUAAAUUUCAUUUUUUCUCUUAUGUGCAUCUGUUGACACCGACACGUGUCGCAGAGUCACUUAAAACAAACUCGAACAACUCUUAGCAACGGAUAUCUUGGUUCCCA
This 347-nucleotide unclassified non-coding RNA is filed under the name fungal sp. RNAcentral describes it as "partial internal transcribed spacer region". The stretch from base 1 to 46 matches the Rfam family "Eukaryotic small subunit ribosomal RNA", at positions 1786 to 1831 of the family's 1831-position model. The record is from RNAcentral. Lineage: Eukaryota; Fungi.